This 253-nucleotide ribosomal RNA is filed under the name uncultured bacterium. RNAcentral describes it as "partial 16S ribosomal RNA". It matches the Rfam family "Bacterial small subunit ribosomal RNA", at positions 524 to 776 of the family's 1533-position model. The record is from RNAcentral.
UACAGAGGUCUCGAGCGUUAGGCGGAAUCACUGGGCUUAAAGCGUGUGUAGGCGGAUUGCUAAGUACCUUGUGAAAUCCCCGGGCUUAACCUGGGAACUGCGCUUGUAACUGGCAAGCUAGAGUGUGGCAGAGGGGGGUGGAAUUCCACGUGUAGCAGUGAAAUGCGUAGAGAUGUGGAGGAACACCUGCGGCGAAGGCGGGUAGCUGGGCCGACACUGACGCUGAGGCGCGAAAGCCAGGGGAGCGAACGGG